RNAcentral lists this ribosomal RNA (444 nucleotides) under uncultured prokaryote. RNAcentral's name for it is "bacterial SSU rRNA". It matches the Rfam family "Bacterial small subunit ribosomal RNA", at positions 355 to 796 of the family's 1533-position model. The record is from RNAcentral.
UGGGGAAUAUUGGUCAAUGGGCGCAAGCCUGAACCAGCCAUGCCGCGUGCAGGAUGACGGCCCUCAGGGUUGUAAACUGCUUUUGUAUGGGAAUAAAAAAGUCCUUGCGAGGGCUCUUGAAGGUACCAUAAGAAUAAGCACCGGCUAACUCCGUGCCAGCAGCCGCGGUAAUACGGAGGGUGCAAGCGUUGUUCGGAUUUACUGGGCGUAAAGGGCGCGUAGGCGGGGUAUCCAGUUAGGGGUGAAAGCCCGGGGCUCAACCUCGGAACUGCCUUUAAAACUGAUACUCUAGAGUCCGGAAGAGGGUCGCGGAAUUCCCAGUGUAGAGGUGAAAUUCGUAGAUAUUGGGAAGAACACCGGUGGCGAAGGCGGCGACCUGGUCCGGUACUGACGCUGAGGCGCGAAAGCGUGGGGAGCAAACAGGAUUAGAUACCCCCGUAGUCC